CCUUGGCCUGGCGCGGUUGGCGAUCUCUUCAUACUGGGCCUUGACCUGGGUGAUGAUGCUGUCCAUGUCCAGGGAGCAGCUGUUGUCCAUGAGCAGAACCACAGAUGUGUCCAAGAUCUGGGACAGC
This 127-nucleotide microRNA precursor is filed under the name Chlorocebus sabaeus (green monkey). RNAcentral describes it as "miRNA (ENSCSAG00000020831.1)". Lineage: Eukaryota; Metazoa; Chordata; Mammalia; Primates; Cercopithecidae. The record is from RNAcentral.